AGUGAACGCUGGCGGUAGGCCUAACACAUGCAAGUCGAACGGCAGCACAGUAAGAGCUUGCUCUUACGGGUGGCGAGUGGCGGACGGGUGAGGAAUACAUCGGAAUCUACUUUUUCGUGGGGGAUAACGUAGGGAAACUUACGCUAAUACCGCAUACGACCUACGGGUGAAAGCAGGAGAUCUUCGGACCUUGCGCGAUUCAAUUAGCCGAUGUCGGAUUAGCUAGUUGGCGGGGUAAAGGCCCACCAAGGCGACGAUCCGUAGCUGGUCUGAGAGGAUGAUCAGCCACACUGGAACUGAGACACGGUCCAGACUCCUACGGGAGGCAGCAGUGGGGAAUAUUGGACAAUGGGCGCAAGCCUGAUCCAGCCAUACCGCGUGGGUGAAGAAGGUCUUCGGGUUGUAAAGCCCUGUUGUUGGGAAAGAAAAGCAGCAGGUUAAUACCCCGAUGUUCUGACGGUACCCAAAGAAUAAGCACCGGCUAACUUCGUG
RNAcentral lists this ribosomal RNA (492 nucleotides) under uncultured bacterium. Its description in RNAcentral is "partial 16S ribosomal RNA". It matches the Rfam family "Bacterial small subunit ribosomal RNA", at positions 29 to 507 of the family's 1533-position model. The record is from RNAcentral.